UACGUAGGGGGCUAGCGUUGUCCGGAAUCACUGGGCGUAAAGGGUUCGCAGGCGGAAAUGCAAGUCAGAUGUAAAAGGCAGUAGCUUAACUACUGUAAGCAUUUGAAACUGCAUAUCUUGAGAAGAGUAGAGGUAAGUGGAAUUUUUAGUGUAGCGGUGAAAUGCGUAGAUAUUAAAAAGAAUACCGGUGGCGAAGGCGACUUACUGGGCUCAUUCUGACGCUGAGGAACGAAAGCGUGGGUAGCACACAGGAUUAGAUACCCUGG
Molecule: ribosomal RNA, 266 nt
Filed under: uncultured Eubacteriales bacterium
Lineage: Bacteria; Bacillati; Bacillota; Clostridia; Eubacteriales
Description: uncultured Clostridiales bacterium partial 16S ribosomal RNA
Rfam family: Bacterial small subunit ribosomal RNA
Source: RNAcentral